RNAcentral lists this ribosomal RNA (785 nucleotides) under uncultured fungus. RNAcentral's name for it is "LSU rRNA". It matches the Rfam family "Eukaryotic large subunit ribosomal RNA", at positions 23 to 664 of the family's 3401-position model. The record is from RNAcentral. Lineage: Eukaryota; Fungi.
ACCCGCUGAACUUAAGCAUAUCAAUAAGCGGAGGAAAAGAAACUAACAAGGAUUCCCCUAGUAACGGCGAGUGAAGCGGGAUGAGCUCAAAUUUAAAAUCUGGCUGGUUUACUAGUCCGAAUUGUAGUUUAAAGAAGCGUUUUCGGUGGCAGCCUGGGUAUAAAUCCUUUGGAACAGGGUAUCAUAGAGGGUGAGAAUCCCGUCUUUGACUCAGUGCAUGCUACUAUGUGAUACGUUUUCAAAGAGUCGAGUUGUUUGGGAAUGCAGCUCAAAAUGGGUGGUAAAUUUCAUCUAAAGCUAAAUAUUGGCGAGAGACUGAUAGCGAACAAGUACCGUGAGGGAAAGAUGAAAAGAACUUUGAAAGGAGAGUUAAACAGUGCGUGAAAUUGUUGAAAGGGAAACGCUUGACACCAGUCAUGCGAGCGGAAAAUCAGUCUUUUGCAGUGGGGAGUUGUGUGGGUUCGGACCGCAAGGCCGGCCUGCGCUGCAUCUCUGCUGUAAGUGAUGCACUUUUUCGUUUGCAGGCCAACAUCAGUUUCUUCUGCUGGACAAAACUCUUGAGAAGGUGGCAGCUUAGGCUGUGUUAUAGCUCUUGAGCGAUACAGUGGAGGGGACUGAGGUUUUCGCAGCGCGUGCUCUCGGGCAAGGCUGAUUGGGUGCUAUGGGAUCGUUCGGUGUACAAUGCAUGCAUUUUGCGCCGUGUCUUUUCUAUACUCGCUCAACUCGGCUCUUCCGCGCUUAGGAUGUUGGCUUAAUGGUUUUAAUCGACCCGUCUUGAAACACGG